GAUAGUUGCCAUCAUUUGGUUGGGCACUUUAUCGAGACUGCCGGUGACAAACCGGAGGAAGGUGGGGAUGACGUCAAAUCAUCAUGCCCCUUAUGACCUGGGCUACACACGUGCUACAAUGGGCGGUACAAAGGGUCGCGAACCCGCGAGGGGGAGCCAAUCCCAAAAAGCCGCUCUCAGUUCGGAUUGCAGGCUGCAACUCGCCUGCAUGAAGCCGGAAUCGCUAGUAAUCGCGGAUCAGCAUGCCGCGGUGAAUGUGUUCCUGAGCCUUGUACACACCGCCCGUCAAGCCAUGGAAGCCGGGAGUGCCUGAAGUCCGUCACCGCAAGGAGCGGCCUAGGGUAAAAUUGGUAACUAGGGCUAAGUCGUAACAAG
Molecule: ribosomal RNA, 375 nt
Filed under: Oxyrrhis marina
Lineage: Eukaryota; Dinophyceae; Oxyrrhinales; Oxyrrhinaceae
Description: partial Bacterial small subunit ribosomal RNA
Rfam family: Bacterial small subunit ribosomal RNA
Source: RNAcentral